UCCUACGGGAGGCUGCAGUGGGGAAUUUUGGACAAUGGGGGCAACCCUGAUCCAGCCAUGCCGCGUGAGUGAAGAAGGCCUUCGGGUUGUAAAGCUCUUUCGGCCGGGAAGAAAUCGCAUCUCCUAAUACGGGGUGUGGAUGACGGUACUGGAAGAAGAAGCACCGGCUAACUACGUGCCAGCAGCCGCGGUAAUACGUAGGGUGCGAGCGUUAAUCGGAAUUACUGGGCGUAAAGCGUGCGCAGGCGGCGCCAUAAGACAGCUGUGAAAUCCCCGGGCUUAACCUGGGAACUGCGGUUGUGACUGUGAUGCUUGAGUGCGGCAGAGGGGGGUGGAAUUCCACGUGUAGCAGUGAAAUGCGUAGAGAUGUGGAGGAACACCGAUGGCGAAGGCAGCCCCCUGGGUUGACACUGACGCUCAUGCACGAAAGCGUGGGGAGCAAACAGGAUUAGAUACCCCGGUAGUCUAA
This 469-nucleotide ribosomal RNA is filed under the name uncultured bacterium. RNAcentral's name for it is "bacterial SSU rRNA". It matches the Rfam family "Bacterial small subunit ribosomal RNA", at positions 337 to 798 of the family's 1533-position model. The record is from RNAcentral.